RNAcentral lists this ribosomal RNA (253 nucleotides) under uncultured bacterium. RNAcentral's name for it is "partial 16S ribosomal RNA". It matches the Rfam family "Bacterial small subunit ribosomal RNA", at positions 524 to 776 of the family's 1533-position model. The record is from RNAcentral.
UACGUAGGGUGCGAGCGUUAAUCGGAAUUACUGGGCGUAAAGCGUGCGCAGGCGGUAAGUUAAGUCUGAUGUGAAAGCCCCGGGCUCAACCUGGGAAUGGCAUUGGAAACUGGCUCGCUGGAGUGUGGCAGAGGGGGGUGGAAUUCCGCGUGUAGCAGUGAGAUGCGUAGAGAUGCGGAGGAACACCGAUGGCGAAGGCAGCCCCCUGGGCUAACACUGACGCUCAGGCACGGAAGCGUGGGGAGCGAACAGG